UAAUACGUAGGGGGCAAGCGUUGUCCGGAAUCAUUGGGCGUAAAGAGCGUGUAGGCGGCUCGGUAAGUCCGCUCUGAAAGCCCGGGGCUCAACCCCGGGAGGCGGGCGGAUACUGUCGGGCUAGAGUCCGGAAGAGGCGAGUGGAAUUCCUGGUGUAGCGGUGAAAUGCGCAGAUAUCAGGAGGAACACCAAUGGCGAAGGCAGCUCGCUGGGACGGUACUGACGCUGAGACGCGAAAGCGUGGGGAGCAAACAGGAUUAGAUACCCUGGUAGUCCACGCUGUAAACGAUGGGCACUAGGUGUGGGGGGUGUCGACUCCCUCCGUGCCGACGCUAACGCAUUAAGUGCCCCGCCUGGGGAGUACGGCCGCAAGGCUA
Molecule: ribosomal RNA, 377 nt
Filed under: uncultured bacterium
Lineage: Bacteria
Description: bacterial SSU rRNA
Rfam family: Bacterial small subunit ribosomal RNA
Source: RNAcentral